This 157-nucleotide small nuclear RNA is filed under the name Arabidopsis halleri subsp. gemmifera. Its description in RNAcentral is "snRNA U1". It matches the Rfam family "U1 spliceosomal RNA". Rfam says of the family: U1 is a small nuclear RNA (snRNA) component of the spliceosome (involved in pre-mRNA splicing). Its 5' end forms complementary base pairs with the 5' splice junction, thus defining the 5' donor site of an intron. Lineage: Eukaryota; Viridiplantae; Streptophyta; Magnoliopsida; Brassicales; Brassicaceae. The record is from RNAcentral.
UUACUUACCUGGACGGGGUCAACUCGCGAUCAAUAAGACGAGUGGCUAGUGACCGCAUUGCACAUAUCGUUGGGGUGCUAUGCUUAAGGUCUUCCCUUGAGGAAGAGCCUACGUCAUUAUUUGUGGCAGAGGGGGUUUGCGUUCGCGCAGCCCCUAC